This is a long non-coding RNA of Chelonus insularis, 948 nucleotides long. RefSeq lists it as uncharacterized. Lineage: Eukaryota; Metazoa; Arthropoda; Insecta; Hymenoptera; Braconidae. The transcript has 3 exons. The record is from RefSeq and is a predicted model, not a curated record.
UGUUUAUCAACAAGUGUUGAAUAAAUGAUUCAAUAAAUGGCACAUCUGUGCUGAAAAUUAUCAAUUAUAUACAUACCGUUCAAUCCCAAGAAAUUUUUUAAUGCUUGAGACAGAUGUGAGAGAAUCAUGUUGAAACCGAUAUAUUAUCACGGUAUAUUAGCUAAUCAUAGCAAAUAAUGAAAUAGUCCUUUGAUGUAUUAGAAAUUUCCAUAAAGCGUUAAUACCAUCCUGAUAAGAAAAACAAUGUCACUUUGAUAGCAAUAAUUACGUAUCAAAGUUAUCAUAAUUUUAUGAAUGGCUGUUCUAUAAAAUUAUUAAAAAUUCAAAUCAACUGGGAUGUUUUUUUAUGUAAACAAUGACGAUACAUUAGGAUGGCCAUUGAGUUUUCUCCAUAAUUCUUCGUGACUCGUUUUUAAUAAGAGCUAUUUAUCUAUAUUUGGUUGAUGACGAAUACAUCUUCUGUAAAUACGAAAACUGCACUUACCUACGUCAUUCAUUCUUAUGAGCGUUUUUUUUUUUUUUUGUAAAACUUUCAAUACACUACGUGAUGUAAUCAAGCAAUGUGUGAGAUCUUUAUCUGAAAAUAGAUGUACAUAUGAAUAUUAUACCUGUGUACAUGACGGGGAUGUGAUUUAUAAUAACUUACAACAAAAGUAACACAAAAUGAAUGAUAUGCAGAUUAUUACAGUGAUAAAUAAAAAGCAAACUUCUUAUAGCAUGUGAUUAAUUUUCACUUAUUAUAACAAUAAUGAACAUAAUUGCGUCUGGUCAGUGUUUAGGUGGAUCAAAGCCCACCGAUAUUCUGAUUAUGGUAUUUUUAUCGAGCAUACACAUUACUGCUGUUAUUUCUAUGGACUUACAUUUUUUUCAAUUCAUAAGAAAUUUUCCUCAAUCAUAUUAUGAUGGAAUUUGAAAAAAAAAAAAUGCAAUAAUCGAGAAAGUUUAGUG